AGCCGUUAUCACACAUAUAUAAAACGAAAAAAUGCAAUCCCUAACUGAAACACUGUGCAUAUACACACGAUGGCUCGCUCAAUCUCCCUUCUAUCUCUCCCUCGUCCUCCUGCUCAAUCCAUCGGUAUCGCCACUUUCACCCUCCACCAUUACUUCUUCUUCAACAGAAUCGAAGAUUCCAAGCCACACACACCUUGUUUUCCCAUUGUGCGACGAUUGCGAAUUUUCUUUCAGAUCUCAGAUCUUCUCCGGUGACAUCUCCUUCGGCGACAUCUCUUCUCAUGGUAAUCUUCUCCGGUGUUGUCACCUCCAGCUUCCUCUCCUUUCCUUCCUAGCUCUGCACCUUCUCUGCCAAAAUCCUCAGCGUCUUCUCCGAUGACAUCUCUCUAUUGAAGAUUUCUAAAUCCAAGCCAUCACAAACAGAACAAGCACAACUCUCCCCUACUUCCUCUGUUCUUCUUGUAAAAGCAAAGGCAUUAAGGUGGCUGUUGCAUCUAGUGCUAAUUGCAUAAAGGUUGAUGCUAAUCUAGCUGCUGCUGGUUUGCCAUUGUCAAUAUCCUCUUGCAAAUGGAUGCGAAAACUCUUGGAAGUGAAGACUACUCACAUCAAAAAGAAGAAAAGCACGCGGAUUUAAUUAAAAGUUUGAAAUCUAGCAUGGACAACUUGAAUAAGGAGUUGGAAAAGAUGAAAAAAGAGAAUUCAACUCCUUCAGAAGAUGGUUAUAGCAUUGAACUUACUUUUCCCAAUCUGCAAAGAGAAUUGGCUAAUCAAGAAUGGGAAAAUAUAUUCCCUGUGUUCAAGGAAAUAUCUGUCAUUGGCAAUGCAUUAGAAAGGGUUCUUGCUUUGGAGAUUGAGCUUGCUGAAGCAUUGCAGGCCAAGAAAAAAUCAAGCAUGCAAUUUCAGAGGAUUGUUGUUAUUUUGAAGCUCAUCCAACAGAGUCAACGUCUGGUGCCUGAUUAAAUUCAGCUGAGCCAAGGAACAGCAUCGGUGGUCCUCGCCGGACUUAUUGCGGCCCUGAAAUUGGUUGGAGGAAACUUAGCUAAUCACAGUUUCUUUUUUGGCUUUUUUGAAUCUAUCCGGAGAAUCUAAAGGCCUGAGCAGAAUAUUAUGAAUUUUUACAGCAACAGGAUAGCUUAUCUUUUGGAGAAGGAUUGGGGGCAACCUGGCUUUGAAUUGCAUUUGUAAUCUAGCUUUUAUCUUUUAUCUUUUAUUUGACUAGUUAUAUAUUGUUUCUAAUGACAUCUUUUCAUUGUUAUAAUUUCAAUUUAUAAUAGAAGGCUUGAUAGAAAUUCCUUGAUAGGAGAGGUUCCUACAAAUCUUUAUAAAAGAUGAGUUUGGAUAAUGAAGUUGGAGUGUUGGAGCAAGAAACAAAGAUGUUGGAGCAAGUUCUCGGGAUGAAACUCACACAAGAGACCAAGAAACUAAUGCAGGCUUGUUUUAAAGUUAAUUACAAAAGGAGAAACCUUUUGGCUUCCAAAUCUUAUUCAUGAUCACUUAGUUAAGCUACUUGUCUUGUAUAUUCAUAUUCUAAGUAGUAAAACAACACUUAUUUCAUGGUUUAAAUACAUUAUUAGAUAUUAACAUAGUUUAGGGAACUGUAUGGUAGAUUUGACUGAUUAGUGUUUAUUGCAAUGCUUGUAUUUUGGUAAGUUUAGUAAGA
Non-coding RNA from Arachis ipaensis, 1660 nucleotides. The record is from RefSeq and is a predicted model, not a curated record. NCBI's taxonomy places the organism in Eukaryota, Viridiplantae, Streptophyta, Magnoliopsida, Fabales, Fabaceae.